GGGGAGAUUCAUCGUCAGCGUAUUUGGUAUUAAUGCAAGUUAUGAUGUAAAUUUUAUGCUCUUUCGGGAACAAUAUUUAUACAUAUUUGUAUUAUUUUAUUGCUAAAUAUCGUCGGCGUGCACUUCUCCCCUAGUAGAACGUCGUGACCCGUUGGGUGUUGAUCUACGGCCCAAUUGAUAGCCUUUGAUAACGCUUUAAUCGGCGAUUAUUAUUAAAAAUCAUUGGUGUAUCCUGAUCAUCUGCCCGGCGGUAUUCGUACGAUAUUGAGUCGCAAAAUAUUAUAUAAUUUGCGUUAAACCCGUCACAAGCCCGGAUAAUUAUACAAUAGUUAUGGACCUAGUGCCAUCAUUGUAAUUGUCUAGCUGUUGGUUGUUGCGGUGUUCUUUAACUGGCUUAAAUAAUUUAUCGGU
This 411-nucleotide ribosomal RNA is filed under the name Ichneutes sp. Its description in RNAcentral is "eukaryotic LSU rRNA". The record is from RNAcentral. Lineage: Eukaryota; Metazoa; Arthropoda; Insecta; Hymenoptera; Braconidae.